CGGGAUUAGAGACCGGCGGACGGGUGCGUAACGCGUAUGCAACCUACCUUUAUCAGGGGAAUAGCCCGGGGAAACUCGGAUUAAUACCGCAUAGUAUAUUUGACGGCAUCGUUGGAUAUUGAAAGAUUUAUUGGAUAGAGCUGGGCAUGCGUAGGAUUAGCUAGUUGGUAAGGUAACGGCUUACCAAGGCAACGAUCCUUAGGGGCUCUGAGAGGAGUGACCCCCACACUGGCACUGAGAUACGGGCCAGACUCCUACGGGAGGCAGCAGUAGGGAAUAUUGGUCAAUGGGCGAGAGCCUGAACCAGCCAUGCCGCGUGCAGGAUGACUGCCCUCUGGGUUGUAAACUGCUUUUAUACGGGAAGAAAAGGCCUCUGCGGAGGACAUUGACGGUACCGUAGGAAUAAGCCACGGCUAACUACGUGCCAGCAGCCGCGGUAAUACGUAGGUGGCGAGCGUUAUCCGGAUUUAUUGGGUUUAAAGGGUGCGUAGGCGGCUUUAUAAGUCGGUGGUUAAAGGUAGCAGCUCAACUGUUUUACAUGCCAUCGAUACUGUAGAGCUUGAGUGAUUAGAAGGCGGGCGGAAUUUCUGGUGUAGCGGUGAAAUGCAUAGAUACCAGAAGGAACACCAAUUGCGAAGGCAGCUCGCUGCAAAUCAACUGACGCUGAUGCACGAAAGCGUGNGGAUCAAACAGGAUUAGAUACCCUGGUAGUCCACGCUGUAAACGAUGAUUACUAGUUGUUGGCGAUAUUACAGU
RNAcentral lists this ribosomal RNA (756 nucleotides) under uncultured microorganism. RNAcentral describes it as "bacterial SSU rRNA". It matches the Rfam family "Bacterial small subunit ribosomal RNA", at positions 83 to 837 of the family's 1533-position model. The record is from RNAcentral.